GACGAACGCUGGCGGCGUGCUUAACACGUGCAAGUCGAACGGAAAGGCCUCUUUCGGGGGGUACUCGAGUGGCGAACGGGUGAGUAACACGUGAGUAACCUGCCCUUGACUUUGGGAUAACUUCAGGAAACUGGGGCUAAUACCGGAUAGGAGCUCCUGCUGCAUGGUGGGGGUUGGAAAGUUUCGGCGGUUGGGGAUGGACUCGCGGCUUAUCAGCUUGUUGGUGGGGUAGUGGCUUACCAAGGCUUUGACGGGUAGCCGGCCUGAGAGGGUGACCGGCCACAUUGGGACUGAGAUACGGCCCAGACUCCUACGGGAGGCAGCAGUGGGGAAUAUUGCACAAUGGGUGGAAGCCUGAUGCAGCAACGCCGUGCGCGGGAUGACGGCCUUCGGGUUGUAAACCGCUUUCGCUCAUGACGAAGCUUUGUGUGACGGUAGUGGGUAAAGAAGCACCGGCUAACUACGUG
RNAcentral lists this ribosomal RNA (467 nucleotides) under uncultured bacterium. RNAcentral describes it as "partial 16S ribosomal RNA". It matches the Rfam family "Bacterial small subunit ribosomal RNA", at positions 28 to 507 of the family's 1533-position model. The record is from RNAcentral.